GAUGAACGCUAGCGGCAGGCCUAAUACAUGCCAGUCGAGGGGUAUGGGUUGCUUGCCACCCAGAGACCGGCGCACGGGUGCGUAACGCGUAUGCAAUCUACCUUAAUCAGGGGGAUAGCCCGGAGAAAUCCGGAUUAACACCGCAUAACAUUGAGUUGUGGCAUCACAGUUCAAUCAAAUAUUUAUAGGAUUAAGAUGAGCAUGCGUGACAUUAGUUAGUUGGUGAGGUAACGGCUCACCAAGACCACGAUGUCUAGGGGAUCUGAGAGGAUGACCCCCCACACUGGUACUGAGACACGGACCAGACUCCUACGGGAGGCAGCAGUAAGGAAUAUUGGUCAAUGGGCGCAAGCCUGAACCAGCCAUGCCGCGUGCAGGAAGACGGCCCUAUGGGUUGUAAACUGCUUUUGUACCGGAAUAAACCUUCUCUUGCGAGAGAAGCUGAACGUACGGUAAGAAUAAGGAUCGGCUAACUCCGUG
This 480-nucleotide ribosomal RNA is filed under the name uncultured bacterium. Its description in RNAcentral is "partial 16S ribosomal RNA". It matches the Rfam family "Bacterial small subunit ribosomal RNA", at positions 28 to 507 of the family's 1533-position model. The record is from RNAcentral.